Molecule: ribosomal RNA, 483 nt
Filed under: uncultured Pseudomonadales bacterium
Lineage: Bacteria; Pseudomonadati; Pseudomonadota; Gammaproteobacteria; Pseudomonadales
Description: bacterial SSU rRNA
Rfam family: Bacterial small subunit ribosomal RNA
Source: RNAcentral
GCUUAACACAUGCAAGUCGAGCGGAGAUGAGGUGCUUGCACCUUAUCUUAGCGGCGGACGGGUGAGUAAUGCUUAGGAAUCUGCCUAUUAGUGGGGGACAACAUUCCGAAAGGAAUGCUAAUACCGCAUACGUCCUACGGGAGAAAGCAGGGGAUCUUCGGACCUUGCGCUAAUAGAUGAGCCUAAGUCGGAUUAGCUAGUUGGUGGGGUAAAGGCCUACCAAGGCGACGAUCUGUAGCGGGUCUGAGAGGAUGAUCCGCCACACUGGGACUGAGACACGGCCCAGACUCCUACGGGAGGCAGCAGUGGGGAAUAUUGGACAAUGGGGGGAACCCUGAUCCAGCCAUGCCGCGUGUGUGAAGAAGGCCUUAUGGUUGUAAAGCACUUUAAGCGAGGAGGAGGCUACUGAGACUAAUACUCUUGGAUAGUGGACGUUACUCGCAGAAUAAGCACCGGCUAACUCUGUGCCAGCCGCCGCGGUAA